UUACCCGGUAGUGUAACGGUAGCACCACAGUUUUUGGUACUGUUAGUCCAGGUUCAAAUCCUGGCCGGGUAAUC
This 74-nucleotide transfer RNA is filed under the name Thalassoglobus neptunius. RNAcentral describes it as "Planctomycetes bacterium KOR42 tRNA-Gln". It matches the Rfam family "tRNA". From Rfam's summary of the family: Transfer RNA (tRNA) molecules are approximately 80 nucleotides in length. Their secondary structure includes four short double-helical elements and three loops (D, anti-codon, and T loops). Lineage: Bacteria; Pseudomonadati; Planctomycetota; Planctomycetia; Planctomycetales; Planctomycetaceae. The record is from RNAcentral.